AUGGAAGAACUCGAGUUCUUCAUGAUCCUACUCCCAAAUUUCUUGAAGAAACUGAGGCUGCCAGACAAGUUCACCAAGUUACUCGAUGGCCGUGAGCCUCGGGAAGUGAAGCUGCGGGAGGCCGGGUGCCGACGUCGCUUGUGGGACGUGGAAGUAGUGUCCGACACCGACGGACACAUGUACCUGGGGAACGGAUGGGAGCAGUUUGCGCGUGCUCAUGACAUGCGGCUCGGACACUUCCUCGUCUUAAGCUACGAUGGCCACGCUGUGCUCACCGUGAAGGUGUUCGACGGUAGCAUGUGCCGCAGGCACUACCACCAAGACAAUGAUGCCAGCAGUGGAAGUAGCAGCGAUUGUGGCAACCCCUUGCAGGGAGCAGAGGGGGAAGGGGAAGCGCUAUCGCAGACAGGAGCAGAGGAAGACGACGGAGAGCAGUGCAUAUCCAAGAUGAGUAAUCCAUGUGAUUCAGAUGAAAGCCAGAAGGAAAGAUCUCAUUCUGCUGAGGAAUUGUCAGAAGACACUCUAUCUGUAGACAAUUCUGUGGAGUCAGCUAAUCCACAGACACUUUCAAAUAACUAUGUCUUAUCAACGCAGUGCUAUCCCACAAAAGCACAGAGGGUGAAAAUAGAUGCGCUUAUAGAGAAAAUUAAACCUAAAUUUACAGUGCUAGUUGUACAGAUGAAGAAGUCGAACGUAAAACGGCAUGCUACUCUGAUAAUACAGAAGGAUUAUGCACUUGAGCACUUUCCAUGUGAAGAUACAACUGUCAUGCUCCAGCUGCCUGGGAAAAACAAGGACUGGAAAUGCACAUUGCGCAUCAGGCCAUCCGGCGUGUCUUAUCCAGGUCAACGCAACCUCUAUUUACGCAACUUUUCCUGCGACAAUCAUGUUAGAGAAGGUGAUAUCUGCCUCUUUCAACCUAUAACAAGUGUUAAGCACAGAAGAUUCAUAGUGAAAGUGCAUAUCCUUCACAAAGUGAGCAUUGAUGACAAAGGAUUGGAAUCAGGUGGAUGCCCAAAGGAAGGCUCGUCCCGUUGUUAUAAAUCCGCAAAUACACCUGCAGUAUCUUAUAGUACUUCUAAGGAAUUUCCAGAUGAGGCUAUGGAGUUAGAUGAUCUUCAGAUGCUCUCGAAGGAUUAUGUAUUAUCAGGGAAAUGUGAUCUUACAGUAGCACAGGAGGAAAAAAUAAAUGCACUUGUAGAGAAAAUUCGAUCUGAAAUCCCCGUUCUUGUUGUACAGAUGAAGAAAAGCAGUGCAAACAAGGGGGCUACUCUGGUAAUACAGAAGGAUUAUGCACUCAAAUACUUUCCAUGUGAAGAUACGACUAUCAUACUCCAGCUGCCUAGGAAGAACAAGAAUUGGAAGUGCAAAUUUCAUAUCAGGGCAUCCGGCAUGUGUAAUGCAGGCCGGCGCACCCUUUAUUUAGCAAAAUUUGUGCAUGACACUCAUAUUAGGGAGGGUGAUAUCUGUCUCUUUCAACCAAUGACAAAUGUUAAGCACAGAAGAUUCAUAGUGACAGCCCAUCUCCUUCACAAAGAGAGCAGUGCCCAUUCCCCGGGAGGAACAACUGGCAUUGGCUCAAAUCGCGGAAGUACAAGUGCCAAGAUGGGCGGUGUGAAGGAUGAACCACCCACGGAUGGUGAAGAGUACUCUUCAGAACAUGAAGAGCAUGAAGUCUCUGAGGAUUCCGAGGGAGCUUUUGAGCAUCUCUUCAUGCUGUCAAACGGAGCUUCUCUAACACCAGCACAGAAUUUGAAAUGUCUGGAGAAAGUUGAGGGGAUUAAGUUCAAACCGCCCUUUUAUGUUGCUAUCAUGAGCAAGAGCACUGUCUGUCAGCGUGGCAGCCAACGUUGUCCCAGCCUACACUUUGGCUGUCAGUAUGCGGCCACAUAUCUUGUUCAGAAGUUUUCUGCUGACCUUCAUCGUGAAGAGAAUAGUCGAAUUAGUUUGGUGCUUCAGCGGGAGGGGAAGAGCAGAUCAUGGCCUACCAAGCUGCAAUAUAAGUAUCGCACGCGAGGCACGAGCAAUCAGAUGACCGUUCACCAUGGAUGGCCGUCUUUUGCCCGCGACAACCACCUGCGGGAUGGGGACAUCUGUCUCUUCAAGCUGAUGGAUAAUGAGGAGCAGCUGAGUAUGAUGGUCUACAUCGUCCGCCGCUAG
Molecule: ribosomal RNA, 2160 nt
Filed under: Triticum aestivum (bread wheat)
Lineage: Eukaryota; Viridiplantae; Streptophyta; Magnoliopsida; Poales; Poaceae
Description: partial small subunit ribosomal RNA
Source: RNAcentral